Molecule: ribosomal RNA, 253 nt
Filed under: uncultured bacterium
Lineage: Bacteria
Description: partial 16S ribosomal RNA
Rfam family: Bacterial small subunit ribosomal RNA
Source: RNAcentral
GACGUAGGGCGCGAGCGUUGUCCGGAUUUAUUGGGCGUAAAGAGCUCGUAGGCGGCUUGUCGCGUCGACUGUGAAAUCCCGCGGCUCAACUGCGGGUCUGCAGUCGAUACGGGCAGGCUAGAGUUCGGUAGGGGAGACUGGAAUUCCUGGUGUAGCGGUGAAAUGCGCAGAUAUCAGGAGGAACACCGAUGGCGAAGGCAGGUCUCUGGGCCGAUACUGACGCUGAGGAGCGAAAGCGUGGGGAGCAAACAGG